Molecule: ribosomal RNA, 456 nt
Filed under: uncultured bacterium
Lineage: Bacteria
Description: bacterial SSU rRNA
Rfam family: Bacterial small subunit ribosomal RNA
Source: RNAcentral
UACGGAAGGCAGCAGUGGGGAAUAUUGCACAAUGGGCGAAAGCCUGAUGCAGCUAUGCCGCGUGUAUGAAGAAGGCCUUAGGGUUGUAAAGUACUUUCAUCGGGGAGGAAAAACAAAACUAAUAAUUUUAUUUCUUGACGUUACCCGAAAAAGAAGCACCGGCUAACUCCGUGCCAGCAGCCGCGGUAAUACGGAGGGUGCUAGCGUUAAUCAGAAUUACUGGGCGUAAAGAGCACGUAGGUGGUUUUUUUAAGUCAGAUGUGAAAUCCCUGGGCUUAACCUGGAAACUGCAUUUUGAAACUGAAAUACUAGAGUAUCGUAGAGGGAGGUAGAAUUCUAGGUGUAGCGGUGAAAUGCGUAGAUAUCUGGAGGAAUACCUGUGGCGAAAGCGGCCUCCUAAACGAAUACUGACACUGAGGUGCGAAAAGCGUGGGGAGCAAACAGGGAUUAGAUACC